This 611-nucleotide ribosomal RNA is filed under the name uncultured Alphaproteobacteria bacterium. RNAcentral describes it as "bacterial SSU rRNA". It matches the Rfam family "Bacterial small subunit ribosomal RNA", at positions 48 to 705 of the family's 1533-position model. Lineage: Bacteria; Pseudomonadati; Pseudomonadota; Alphaproteobacteria. The record is from RNAcentral.
UUAACACAUGCAAGUCGAACGCACUUUUCGGGGUGAGUGGCAGACGGGUGAGUAACGCGUGGGAACGUGCCCUUCAGUUCGGGAUAACCCAGGGAAACUUGGGCUAAUACCGGAUACGUGCGAGAGCAGAAAGAUUUAUCGCUGAAGGAUCGGCCCGCGUCUGAUUAGCUAGUUGGUGGGGUAAUGGCCCACCAAGGCGACGAUCAGUAGCUGGUCUGAGAGGAUGAUCAGCCACAUUGGGACUGAGACACGGCCCAAACUCCUACGGGAGGCAGCAGUGGGGAAUAUUGGACAAUGGGCGCAAGCCUGAUCCAGCCAUGCCGCGUGAGUGAUGAAGGCCUUAGGGUUGUAAAGCUCUUUCGUCCGGGACGAUAAUGACGGUACCGGAAGAAGAAGCCCCGGCUAACUUCGUGCCAGCAGCCGCGGUAAUACGAAGGGGGCUAGCGUUGUUCGGAAUCACUGGGCGUAAAGGGCGCGUAGGCGGCUUUGUAAGUCGGGGGUGAAAGCCUGUGGCUCAACCACAGAAUUGCCUUCGAUACUGCAUGGCUUGAGACCGGAAGAGGUAAGUGGAACUGCGAGUGUAGAGGUGAAAUUCGUAGAUAUUCGCAAGA